GUGGGAGUAGCACAGAGGCUAUGCACGGGACUGCAGAUCCUGAGAUCGGGGGUUCGACUCCCUCCUCCCACCCCA
This 75-nucleotide transfer RNA is filed under the name Candidatus Methanomethylophilaceae archaeon. RNAcentral describes it as "tRNA-Cys". It matches the Rfam family "tRNA". From Rfam's summary of the family: Transfer RNA (tRNA) molecules are approximately 80 nucleotides in length. Lineage: Archaea; Methanobacteriati; Thermoplasmatota; Thermoplasmata; Methanomassiliicoccales; Methanomethylophilaceae. The record is from RNAcentral.